Molecule: unclassified non-coding RNA, 442 nt
Filed under: Hevea brasiliensis (rubber tree)
Lineage: Eukaryota; Viridiplantae; Streptophyta; Magnoliopsida; Malpighiales; Euphorbiaceae
Source: RNAcentral
UGCUGGGAAGUGGGGGCGCUUGUGGCAUCCAGUGGAGUAAAUAAGCUUUGUUGCUCCCCAAGGGCUCUGCCUUCUACUGUGAAGUAAUGGGCAGGAGACUCAGUAACUUCACCUAUAGAACAGAAGGUUCCUCAACCUAGUGGGGAGAAGACAAGGUUAUCUUGCUGGUAAGUUAUUCUCUAGGUGCGCUAGAAGUUUAUCAAUGAGCUUGAACUGCAAGACAAUUUCAAACAUCUGCAGUGCUAUUGAGAAUGGGAAUACCUCGGGUUGUGGCUUAAACCUUAACGUAUACCAUAGUUUGUUUUUUAUUAUGGGUGGUAAAUAGACGCCCCAUAUCAAAAUGGAUCAUAAACAUUAUCAAACAAAGUAUGGUGUUUGAAGCUGGGAAUUUAUUAAAUUGUAUUUGUCUUCUUCGUAAAUUUUCGAGUUUCAUAAAUCUUUG